Molecule: small nuclear RNA, 20 nt
Filed under: Arabidopsis thaliana (thale cress)
Lineage: Eukaryota; Viridiplantae; Streptophyta; Magnoliopsida; Brassicales; Brassicaceae
Description: snRNA_16092
Source: RNAcentral
UCUCGAGCACGCACGAGCAC